Molecule: unclassified non-coding RNA, 270 nt
Filed under: Glomus sp.
Lineage: Eukaryota; Fungi; Glomeromycota; Glomeromycetes; Glomerales; Glomeraceae
Description: partial contains 5.8S ribosomal RNA and internal transcribed spacer 2
Rfam family: 5.8S ribosomal RNA (bases 1-65)
Source: RNAcentral
GUGAAUCAUCGAAUUUUUGAACGCAAAUUGCACUCUCCUCGGAUAGUAUGCCUGUUUGAGUGUCAGCCUAUAAAAAAUCGACAUCGUUGCUGUUUUGCGGUGUCGUUCGUCGGAAAUUGGGUCGUCUUAAAUCCAUUUGCUUUAAGCGACUUAAAAUUUUCUUUUGGUUCCUUGAACGUUUCGAAGAUCUGUUUCGUUACACGUUAAAGGAUUCGUGUGUUACUAGACGUGACCAUCAUAUCGUAUCACGUACAUAUUCGUUGAUCUGUG